GUAGGGGGCAAGCGUUGUCCGGAUUUACUGGGCGUAAAGCGCGUGUAGGUGGGGAAGCGCGUCGGACGUGAAAGGCGGGAGCUCAACUCCCGAGCGGCGUUCGAAACGGCUUCUCUUGAGGACCGAAGAGGAGAGUGGAAUUCCUGGUGUAGCGGUGAAAUGCGUAGAGAUCAGGAGGAACACCCGUGGCGAAGGCGGCUCUCUGGUCGGUAUCUGACGCUGAGACGCGAAAGCGUGGGGAGCGAACGGGAUUAGAUACCCCGGUAGUCCACGCCGUAAACGAUGGUCACUAGGUGUAUGCGGUAUCGACCCCGCAUGGGCCGCAGCUCACGCAAUAAGUGACCCGCCUGGGGAGUACGGCCGCAAGGUUG
RNAcentral lists this ribosomal RNA (371 nucleotides) under uncultured bacterium. Its description in RNAcentral is "bacterial SSU rRNA". It matches the Rfam family "Bacterial small subunit ribosomal RNA", at positions 527 to 896 of the family's 1533-position model. The record is from RNAcentral.